UAAAAAAGAAGAAGAAGGAAGAUAGAAAAGAAACAGAAUGAAACGAAACAGAGAGCAGGGGAGAAAAAGAAAGAAAGAAAAGAAAGAAAGGGGGAAAAAGGAAAAUUGAAGGUUUGAAGCUUUAAGCUUUAAUAGAUCCAGAAGGUUCAAAUAUGAAGCUAGAUCGAGGAAAGGAAAAAGUUCAGGAUUUGUAGAUUUUUGUACACGAACAAGUAUCAAGUGUUAAGAGCUCAGAGGUCGGAUUUGGUCGGAGACGCAUCACACUAUCAACCUCAGGAUUUCGUAAAUGUCUACCGACCAAGCUCAAUCUGAGAAAGCUGGGACUCAUGCUCCGGCUUCAGUACAAAGAGAAUAAACUAGCAGUAGAAGGUGUAACGGCCUAAUUUUCAGUGGUGUCGGAAAUGGUGAUUUAAUAUUUAUGAGUCAAGUAAGAAUUUAGAAGAAUUUGUGAAUUGGUGAAAUUAGUGAAUUAAAAGAAUUUAUUAGGUCAAACGGGUCAAAAACGAGGUGUCGAGACCUUAAAAUUAAAAAUCGAGCUAUAAAUAUUUUUAUAA
Molecule: long non-coding RNA, 554 nt
Organism: Gossypium arboreum
Lineage: Eukaryota; Viridiplantae; Streptophyta; Magnoliopsida; Malvales; Malvaceae
Exons: 4
Source: RefSeq, a predicted model, not a curated record